RNAcentral lists this ribosomal RNA (303 nucleotides) under uncultured bacterium. RNAcentral's name for it is "partial 16S ribosomal RNA". It matches the Rfam family "Bacterial small subunit ribosomal RNA", at positions 507 to 807 of the family's 1533-position model. The record is from RNAcentral.
AGCAGUCGCCGCGGUAAUACAGAGGGUGCGAGCGUUAAUCGGAUUUACUGGGCGUAAAGCGUGCGUAGGCGGCUUCUUAAGUCGGAUGUGAAAUCCCUGAGCUUAACUUAGGAAUUGCAUUCGAUACUGGGAAGCUAGAGUAUGGGAGAGGAUGGUAGAAUUCCAGGUGUAGCGGUGAAAUGCGUAGAGAUCUGGAGGAAUACCGGUGGCGAAGGCGGCCCCCUGGACAAAGACUGACGCUCAGGUGCGAAAGCGUGGGGAGCAAACAGGAUUAGAUACCCCCGUAGUCCCUGUCUCUUAUAC